Molecule: RNA transcript, 1358 nt
Organism: Brassica oleracea var. oleracea
Lineage: Eukaryota; Viridiplantae; Streptophyta; Magnoliopsida; Brassicales; Brassicaceae
Gene name: rac-like GTP-binding protein ARAC10
Exons: 9
Source: RefSeq, a predicted model, not a curated record
GAAAUAUUGAAAAGAGCAAACAGAAAAGAAAAGAAAAAAGGCAGGGGGCUUCCUUGCAUGUAUGUUCUGUUGUGCGGUUUGCUUUAUAUUUUAACUCAUCUUCCUCGUUAAAGUAAUCCCACUUAAUCUAUCUCUCUAUUUCCUUCUUCUUCUUCUUCUUCUUCUUCUUCGUCUUCUUGGGUUUGGCUGUGUAUGUGAGUUGAGAUUCAAUCAAUGGCUUCAACUGCUUCAAAGUUCAUAAAAUGUGUGACUGUUGGUGAUGGCGCCGUAGGUAAAACCUGUAUGCUCAUCUGCUACACCAGCAACAAAUUCCCUACUGACUACAUACCAACAGUUUUUGACAACUUUAGUGCAAACGUUGUAGUUGAAGGCACCACUGUGAACCUAGGCCUAUGGGACACUGCUGGGCAAGAAGACUACAACAGAUUAAGGCCUUUAAGUUACAGAGGAGCAGAUGUUUUCGUCCUGUCUUUCUCCUUGGUCAGCCGAGCUAGCUACGAGAAUGUUUUUAAAAAGUGGAUCCCUGAACUCCAACACUUUGCCCCAGGAGUUCCAUUAGUCCUUGUUGGUACCAAACUAGAUCUCCGUGAAGAUAAGCAUUAUUUGGCUGACCAUCCUGGACUAUCCCCUGUAACUACUGCACAGGGAGAGGAAUUGCGUAAGCUAAUCGGUGCGACAUAUUACAUUGAAUGUAGCUCGAAAACUCAACAGAAUGUGAAAGCAGUUUUUGAUUCAGCGAUCAAGGAAGUGAUCAAACCGGUGGUUAAACAAAAGGCGAAGACGCAGAAAACGAAGAAGCAAAAGUCUAAUCAUGGCUGUUUAUCAAACGUUCUGUGUGGGAGGAUAGUGACUCGGCAUUGAUGUUGAUGGCAAAAGUCCACCACUCUUGAGUUUGUGUUAUAAAAUGAGUUACAUAUAUAUGUAUGGAAUCAUGUAAGAGAGAUGAUUAGCCUCUAAUCAAUCAAUAGUUUACAUUGUAAGAGAGAUAGAGAGCGCUUACUUAUUACUAACUCAAUUAUGUUUAAAUGUUUAUAUUAGCAUUUUUGUUUGUAACAGAGAAUAAAAAGUUCUGAUGAGAUGAGAGCCAAGAAACGGCUUGAGAAGAAACCAGUAGUGGAUCAGUCCCAAAGGCAGUCAAUGAUCAAAACGCAGAGUUUCAUCAAAACAUCACGGAACAUAAUUCCAAUGGGCCGGAGAAACAGUCUUGCCAAACUUGGGCCUUAACCGGCUCACAGUAAAUAUACCUUUUCCUUUCUUUUUGUUUGCUCUUUUUAAAAAGGACCUUUUGUGUUAGACACGGUAAAAAGGUUGAAAGAUAACACUAUUGCCCACACUUAUACAUCACGACAUCACGUCAC